This 253-nucleotide ribosomal RNA is filed under the name uncultured bacterium. RNAcentral describes it as "partial 16S ribosomal RNA". It matches the Rfam family "Bacterial small subunit ribosomal RNA", at positions 524 to 776 of the family's 1533-position model. The record is from RNAcentral.
UACGUAGGGUCGAGCGUUUGUCCGGAAUCACUGGGCGUAAAGGGCGCGUAGGCGGCCUGAUAAGUAGGGGGUGAAAUCCUGCGGCUUAACCGCAGGGCUGCCUUCUAAACUGUCAGGCUGGAGCACAGUAGAGGCAGGUGGAAUUCCCGGUGUAGCGGUGGAAUGCGUAGAGAUCGGGAAGAACAUCAGUGGCGAAGGCGGCCUGCUGGGCUGUUGCUGACGCUGAGGCGCGACAGCGUGGGGAGCAAACAGG